This is a long non-coding RNA of Aedes aegypti (yellow fever mosquito), 1202 nucleotides long. RefSeq lists it as uncharacterized. The record is from RefSeq and is a predicted model, not a curated record. The transcript is spliced from 3 exons. NCBI's taxonomy places the organism in Eukaryota, Metazoa, Arthropoda, Insecta, Diptera, Culicidae.
UACGAGUAACCUCAGGGAAGAUCGGGUAACCAACCCCCGGUGGGAACUUUGGUCGUAUGUGAUGUAUUUUUCCUACGCACCCCUAGUGCGUUCUAAUGUCAGUUGACGGUCGUCCCUCCGACGAUCGUAUACGAACGAAUCGAAGUAGCCGAAGGGCUCUGAUCAUUAGUAAAUAAACAAGACAGCUUCAGUCUUAUCUGAACUACCAGCCUAACCAGAUCGCUUUUACUUCAUCAGUCUCUUAAUACAAGUUCACUUUUCCUCCGCCGGUCUCGGGAAUUGUAAAGUGUCGACGAGAAAAAGGUGUUUGAACGCGUGAAAUUGGAGUUAGUUUUUUUUUUAAUUGGACUCGGACAAGCGCCAGCAACAGAAUUGGAUCAGCGUCACCGGAGCGGUGGAUUCGAUCAGGGUGAACGACGUAUCAGGAUUCUUUACACAGCUAUUGUGGAGUCUUGAAAACCGCCAAAUUGUAAGCAGUAGCAAAAUUCAACGGAAUUGCUUUCGCCGAUACGGAUUUGGAAGCAGUGAGGAAAUCUGCCGGCGGGACUGAUCCGUAGCCGUUUGUGAAUCCGUAAACAGGAAAGGUUUUUCGGUAAUAGGAUAUGCAUUGGAAGCGUGGUCACCAUGGCACACAGGACGCAGAUACGACCAUGUAAGCCGUCUGCAACGUGGCAAAGGCCGAACGUUUGGAUUACGAGAGCGCAGUCAAGUAAGGAAACCUCGAUGGCGCCCCCUGCUGACUACCCGCCAGCCGGCGAUGAACUACCCUCCAGUAACGAUCCGCCUAUUGGCGAAGAAAAUCAGCAGCAGGCUCCGAGGGGACGCAACAAGAGAAGACGCCUGGAAUCAGGUUCCAACCAGAUAGAGCCCCGGAGAUCCAAACGGACGAAGAAAGUUAAUCGCAGUGACGAUUUUUACUAUAACUGAAUUUUGCGAGCUUGAUAAAAAAAAGUUUUCGAUCAACCAAAUUUGAAUUCGUGAUUAUGAUAUUAUUGUAAUGAAUUGUUUCACGUUCUGAUAAGUUUAAACUAUGUAAAAGGGGGAGAAUUGAUGUAUUUUUCCUACGCACCCCUAGUGCGUUCUAAUGUCAGUUGACGGUCGUCCCUCCGACGAUCGUAUACGAACGAAUCGAAGUAGCCGAUGGGCUCUGAUCAUUAGUAAAUAAACAAGACAGCUUCAGUCUUAUCUGAACUACCAGCCUA